RNAcentral lists this ribosomal RNA (1578 nucleotides) under Enterococcus faecium. Its description in RNAcentral is "16S ribosomal RNA". The record is from RNAcentral. Lineage: Bacteria; Bacillati; Bacillota; Bacilli; Lactobacillales; Enterococcaceae.
CAGCUCCGGCCGCCAUGGCGGCCGCGGGAAUUCGAUUUACGGUUACCUUGUUACGACUUCACCNUAAUCAUCUAUCCCACCUUAGGCGGCUGGCUCCAAAAGGUUACCUCACCGACUUCGGGUGUUACAAACUCUCGUGGUGUGACGGGCGGUGUGUACAAGGCCCGGGAACGUAUUCACCGCGGCGUGCUGAUCCGCGAUUACUAGCGAUUCCGGCUUCAUGCAGGCGAGUUGCAGCCUGCAAUCCGAACUGAGAGAAGCUUUGAGAGAUUAGCUUAGCCUCGCGACUUCGCGACUCGUUGUACUUCCCAUUGUAGCACGUGUGUAGCCCAGGUCAUAAGGGGCAUGAUGAUUUGACGUCAUCCCCACCUUCCUCCGGUUUGUCACCGGCAGUCUUGCUAGAGUGCCCAACUGAAUGAUGGCAACUAACAAUAAGGGUUGCGCUCGUUGCGGGACUUAACCCAACAUCUCACGACACGAGCUGACGACAACCAUGCACCACCUGUCACUUUGCCCCCGAAGGGGAAGCUCUAUCUCUAGAGUGGUCAAAGGAUGUCAAGACCUGGUAAGGUUCUUCGCGUUGCUUCGAAUUAAACCACAUGCUCCACCGCUUGUGCGGGCCCCCGUCAAUUCCUUUGAGUUUCAACCUUGCGGUCGUACUCCCCAGGCGGAGUGCUUAAUGCGUUAGCUGCAGCACUGAAGGGCGGAAACCCUCCAACACUUAGCACUCAUCGUUUACGGCGUGGACUACCAGGGGUAUCUAAUCCUGUUUGCUCCCCACGCUUUCGAGCCUCAGCGUCAGUUACAGACCAGAGAGCCGCCUUCGCCACUGGUGUUCCUCCAUAUAUCUACGCAUUUCACCGCUACACAUGGAAUUCCACUCUCCUCUUCUGCACUCAAGUCUCCCAGUUUCCAAUGACCCUCCCCGGUUGAGCCGGGGGCUUUCACGUCAGACUUAAGAAACCGCCUGCGCUCGCUUUACGCCCAAUAAAUCCGGACAACGCUUGCCACCUACGUAUUACCGCGGCUGCUGGCACGUAGUUAGCCGUGGCUUUCUGGUUAGAUACCGUCAAGGGAUGAACAGUUACUCUCAUCCUUGUUCUUCUCUAACAACAGAGUUUUACGAUCCGAAAACCUUCUUCACUCACGCGGCGUUGCUCGGUCAGACUUUCGUCCAUUGCCGAAGAUUCCCUACUGCUGCCUCCCGUAGGAGUUUGGGCCGUGUCUCAGUCCCAAUGUGGCCGAUCACCCUCUCAGGUCGGCUAUGCAUCGUGGCCUUGGUGAGCCGUUACCUCACCAACUAGCUAAUGCACCGCGGGUCCAUCCAUCAGCGACACCCGAAAGCGCCUUUCAAAUCAAAACCAUGCGGUUUCGAUUGUUAUACGGUAUUAGCACCUGUUUCCAAGUGUUAUCCCCUUCUGAUGGGCAGGUUACCCACGUGUUACUCACCCGUUCGCCACUCCUCUUUUUCCGGUGGAGCAAGCUCCGGUGGAAAAAGAAGCGUUCGACUUGCAUGUAUUAGGCACGCCGCCAGCGUUCGUCCUGAGCCAGGAUCAAACUCUAAUCACUAGUGAAUUC